This 25-nucleotide non-coding RNA is filed under the name Cricetulus griseus (Chinese hamster). The record is from RNAcentral. Lineage: Eukaryota; Metazoa; Chordata; Mammalia; Rodentia; Cricetidae.
GCUGGGCAUAGAAGCUACGACGACU